CCUGGCUCAGAACGAACGCUGGCGGAAGGCUUAACACAUGCAAGUCGAGCGCGCCCUUCGGGGCGAGCGGCAGACGGGUGAGUAACGCGUGGGAACGUACCUUUUGGUUCGGAAUAGCCCCGGGAAACUGGGAGUAAUACCGGAUAAGCCCCUCGGGGGAAAGAUUUAUCGCCAAAAGAUCGGCCCGCGUCAGAUUAGCUAGUUGGUGAGGUAAUGGCUCACCAAGGCGACGAUCUGUAGCUGGUCUGAGAGGAUGAUCAGCCACACUGGGACUGAGACACGGCCCAGACUCCUACGGGAGGCAGCAGUGGGGAAUCUUGGACAAUGGGGGAAACCCUGAUCCAGCCAUUCCGCGUGGAUGAUGAAGGCCUUAGGGUUGUAAAAUCCUUUCAGCAGGGAAGAUAAUGACUGUACCUGCAGAAGAA
This 425-nucleotide ribosomal RNA is filed under the name alpha proteobacterium ML37. Its description in RNAcentral is "bacterial SSU rRNA". It matches the Rfam family "Bacterial small subunit ribosomal RNA", at positions 18 to 489 of the family's 1533-position model. Lineage: Bacteria; Pseudomonadati; Pseudomonadota; Alphaproteobacteria; Hyphomonadales; Hyphomonadaceae. The record is from RNAcentral.